This is a long non-coding RNA of Formica exsecta, 2025 nucleotides long. RefSeq lists it as uncharacterized. Lineage: Eukaryota; Metazoa; Arthropoda; Insecta; Hymenoptera; Formicidae. The transcript is spliced from 3 exons. The record is from RefSeq and is a predicted model, not a curated record.
CCUUACUUCGUCCAGCGACAUGAUAGAAAAUGCUAGCACUCUGACACUGAAAUUAUAGACUAUGAUGAUCCUGAGGGAAGAAUCGUACGAGAACGAGAGGUUACACGACACUCGUGUCGACGAAAGCCAACGAUAAAGACAAGCAUUAUCGAGCGACCUUUGGAACGACUGAAAUCAUCGCUAUACGAGAUUCGAUAUGCUUCAACUAAUUUAUUUCGCAAUAAUAUCAUGCGAAAAUGUAUGGAUAUUUUAAUGGAGGAAACGCGAUUCGGCAAUCAAGAGACACGGAUGACCAAGGUCAUUACUGGUAUCUUCUGUAUUCGAGUUCUCGAAUGGAUGUAUCAUCUUUUCACACCUAUAAUUUUUUAGAUAUUUUGAAAAGAAUAAUAUAAAAUGGUCGAUCCAAGAAAUUAAAAAUCGACAGGAAGGUAAUUUAUAUUAAUGUUUAAAGUCGUACAUUUUUGAUCGCUAUUAUUAUAUUUCGAUACGACCAUCUGUUGCUUAGCCAUAUUUUAUUGAAUUGUGGGGAAGGAGCAAAGAUAAAUAAUUUAUUAACCUUCAAGUUUUUUCUCUCUCUCUAUGAGAUAAUCAUUUCACAGCCACACGGUAAUAUGUUAAAUAAAAAUGCAAAUUCUAUCUUAAUAUUAGAAUAAAUUUGAUACAUUGGCAUCACUGUAUUUACUAUAGCGAUUUAAUAUUUUACUUCUUAAAAAAAAUGGUAGUUUGACAAGGCAUACAUCGUUCGCUUGUUACACAUAACAUUUCAUUUUAAAAAAUCGUGUUUCUUCAACACGUGCGGAUGGUAGUCUUUUUUCGAUGUUGCUCGUAGCUAUGAUUGAUUCGAAAAAAAAAGUUUUUAUAUAAAAACUACGAAUUAAAUAUGAAAGGAUGUAAAGAAAUAUAUAUCGUGAUAAAUUAUCGUUGACAUUUUCUGCGAUUCUAUUUUUAUUUAUCAUACAUCCGCAUUGCAAACUUAUGUUCGGAAAGUUGAAAAAAAGAUCUUGAAUUUUAAAACUAAAUUUGUUCAUAAGAUAAAUUUGUGGACGAAUGGAAAGAAAAAUAUCGCAUGCAAGAUAUAAGUAAAUGUUUUUAAAGCCAGUGGAUUAUUGUUGGCGAUGACAAUAAAAAAUACACAUUCUUCCUGUCCUUGCUUCUCUUUCACAAACACGCAAUCAUUAUUCUCUCUCGCUUUCUUUCUCUCUCUUUCAUUACUAUUUUUGCAAAUCUAUAUAUAUAUAUAGAUAUAUAUGUAUAUACAUACAUUACGGUGCAAUAAUUAUAAUAUAUUUUGUGCUCAUAUAUGAAAAGUUUUAUAAAACCAACUUUGAAAGAGGUUUGACUCGAAAUUUAUGUUCUUUAAUGCGUUUUCAUAGUUCAGUUACUGAAAGUUAUAAAACUUACUAAACUUAGAAAAAAAAUGUGCAUUUCUGACAAUGCAUGACUUAUUGUCAGAAAUUAGUUUAUACUAAUGUGUCAUUCCUCGGUUUAUUACUAACGCGUAUUUAAGUCACGUACGCGACAACUACAAUUAACGACAUUAUGUCUUUUGGUUCCAAAAGUAAGAAAUGAUAAAUAUAAUCCAUUUAUAAUGCGGAUAAAUAUCUUUUUCAGAUUAAAUUUUAUAUACAUGGUGUUCCCGCAUUAUUAUAAUAUCACCGGGGGAAUAAUAUGUGACAAUAAUACUACACAGUGAUGAAGAGAAAAAACAAUAAUAAUCCGCUUAAGCAGCGAAACAAAUAUAUGAUGGAGUAGUAAACUGUUUUGGAUACGGAUUGGAUCCAGACGAGCGUGGAUAAUGACGAAUUGCAAAUUUUAGAUAAAUUAAUUAUCGAGUUUAUCUCGAUCAAUUGAAAGAUGUCUUACGAGUUAAGAUUUUAAGGAAUACCGCGUGAUAUUUUUGUAAUAAAUCUUGAUAUAUCACACCAUGUCAUUUUAAAAUUUGAAGGAUGUAAGAUCUCUCGAAAUGUCAAGAGAAUAUAUAUGUGCAUAUUUCUUGUGUGAAACAAAUAUAAUUAUGUGAUUCAU